Molecule: ribosomal RNA, 273 nt
Filed under: uncultured bacterium
Lineage: Bacteria
Description: partial 16S ribosomal RNA
Rfam family: Bacterial small subunit ribosomal RNA
Source: RNAcentral
UCCUACGGGGGGCAGCAGUAGGGAAUCUUCCACAAUGGACGAAAGUCUGAUGGAGCAACGCCGCGUGAGUGAAGAAGGGUUUCCGCUCGUAAAGCUCAGUUGGUAGUGAAGAAAGAUAGAGGUAGUAACUGGCCUUUAUUUGACGGUAAUUACUUAGAAAGUCACGGCUAACUACGUGCCAGCAGCCGCGGUAAUACGUAGGUGGCAAGCGUUGUCCGGAUUUAUUGGGCGUAAAGCGAGUGCCGGCGGUUCAAAAAAUCUGAUGUGAAAAGC